UACGCAGGGGGCAAGCGUUGUCCGGAAUCAUUGGGCGUAAAGAGCGUGUAGGCGGCCCGAUAAGUCCGCUGUGAAAGUCCAGGGCUCAACCCUGGGAUGCCGGUGGAUACUGUCGGGCUCGAGUCCGGAAGAGGAGUGUGGAAUUCCUGGUGUAGCGGUGAAAUGCGCAGAUAUCAGGAGGAACACCAAUGGCGAAGGCAGCACUCUGGGACGUGACUGACGCUGAGACGCGAAAGCGUGGGGAGCGAACAGG
This 253-nucleotide ribosomal RNA is filed under the name uncultured bacterium. RNAcentral describes it as "partial 16S ribosomal RNA". It matches the Rfam family "Bacterial small subunit ribosomal RNA", at positions 524 to 776 of the family's 1533-position model. The record is from RNAcentral.